This is a non-coding RNA of Callithrix jacchus (white-tufted-ear marmoset), 3171 nucleotides long. Lineage: Eukaryota; Metazoa; Chordata; Mammalia; Primates; Cebidae. The record is from RefSeq and is a predicted model, not a curated record.
GGCGAACCCGGGCCUGGUAGGGGGGCGCCUGACUGGGAGGGGAAUGGAGCGGAGGAGCGAGGCCCCGACGAGUUGGGUCUCGGGGCGGGAGCCAGAGGUGACCCAGAGGGGCCUCCCGGCGGGGCUCCCCAGGGCUCCUAAGGACCUUGAAAGCUGCCGGGGCACUCUUCUGUUCCGCCCUGCUCACUCCCAAGUAUCCAGUCCCUCCGCCCUUAGCUGGGCAGCUGCUGUCCGUUGAGCGCCUGCGGUGCACCCGGCGGCCUGUCAGUCUCCUUCUCAGACGAGAUAGUGAAAUCGUGCCCUAUGAGGACUUUAGGCUCUGAAGUCCGCCUUGGAGUGCCGACGUUUCUUUUCUAGUCCAUGUCGCUCUGAAAGCAUAGGCCAUUUGGCAUCGUGUCUAGCUGUGCCGAGUUAUUCCAACGUGGAGUAAAGUUGGGAGAAACGCUGAACUAGACUAAAACAAAAGGGAAGUCUAUGUGGAUCUGGCCAGUCUGCCCUUACCUGUGAAAGGGGGUGGGAGUUGGCAGACGGAUUGUUAGCGUUCUCUACUUCCUGUGUAGGAGGUUUGUUUCUUUCGAUUUCCAAUGAAGCCUUCAUGACCUGAAUACUGUGAAUAGACUGGUUAUGGUGAUUAAAGUAGAUAUGUGUAAAAAUGUCCAGUCCAGGUCCUGGGCUGUGGCCGGGGCUUUCGAGGUUGGCGGAUUUGAAUCUAAGCCUUGUUCCAUUAGAUGCACAAACACACGUGAGCUGAAAAAAAAUUGUAGGCAACGUGGCCACCUGCUUCUUGCCUCUGAGAAUUGGCUUUUCCUCCGGCCUCUCUCGGUGUUUAUUGUGGGAUCAGCUUGGCACUGGUCUUGGGACCCCUUCACUAGGCAGCAGGCACAGUAGCCAUUGCACUUCAUGGCCGUUAUUCUGUAACCACCCUGCAGCGGGGUAGGGUUCGUAGCCAUAUUACAGGUGAAUACACUGAGGGUCCGAGGCUCACUUAAGGAAGGCUCAUCGUGUCCUAACUCUUCCCAGAUGGACUUCAGGUGACUGUUUUGUUACUCCGGAGAACAGUGGUUGGCACCUGGCAAAGGCUCCCAGCCGCACUGGCUGCUUUUUGCUUCUUCAUGUAGCUUUAGGCUAUUCCUCUUUCCAGUUCAGUUAGCCUGGAACUCUUUUUAAUUUUCUCAGGCUUCAAGUCCCAGGUUAAGUUACCUCACCAAACACCAUUCCUGUCUAAAUUACUUCCCCCACUUCCUUUCUGGGGCUUAACUUCCUUCUUGCUUACAGCUCAUGAAGGAGUGGCCGUAUGUUUUUUGCCCCUCAACUGACUGGAAUGCCCUCUGUGUGCCAGAUCUUGGAGUAAAUUCAGUGAAUUGAUUAUAAAUAAGUACCGGUCAAACUACUGUAAAAAUUCCUUCUGCAAGUAGGAGGGUAUUUCAGGGAUCACACCUCUGUCUGGGGUGAGUGAUCAGGUAAUGGUUGAAUAAACUAAGAAAUUAGUGGUGGAAGCAAACUUCACUAGAGUUGAAGUCUUUAGCUAGCUUUUUCAUUGAAUCCGUUUAUCCUUGGCUCAGACUUACCUACUUUUGGAUUAAUUCAGUGGAUUUCAUUUACUAUUAACAUUUGUAAAAAGGUUAGACUUAGCACAGUUUGCUAAAUGAAGAGCAGCAAAAUUUGAGGUUUCCUUGAGCUAGGUGAACGUUUCCUAGGUCAGAGGGCAAGGAGUUGUACUGGGAUUCAAACCUUGGCUUUUCCCUAUACUCACUGUCCUAGCCCCACGUGCUGAGCAGUUCAGUGCAAAUUGAAGACAGAUGGGAGCACCUCUGUGAGGGCAGCCUGACUUAGCUCUAGCCCCUUAGCUGGAGCCAAGUGCUUUCUGCUGUGCCUAGUUGAUUUUUACCUUUUGUGCUUGGAAACUUGAACAUUACUGCAACUCUGGCUGGGGCAUUGGAUUUUUAUAAAACUGUAUUUCAAGCCCUGAAUGACUGCAUUCUCCAAUCUAGGAUAAUACAGCUGGAAAAGGGCAGCUGGCUGGGUGCACAAGAGGGGAAUUUCUUUCUAGCACUGGACUGGGGUGAGUGUCAGAAGGCUGAACUAGAAAGGGGCCCAUAAGUAGGAAAUAGAAAUUGAAAAGCCAGCCCAGGAUAUUUGAGCAGUUCAAAAGCAGUUUGGUGGUUUGGGUGUGUCUCAGGCACAAAGUGGCUCGUGAACAUUUGAUAGAUGAGCUGUACCACCUAUGUAUGUGCUUGAGAAGAGACUUCAGGCUGCUUUUAUCUGCAUGCUGGGUUCGGUUCCACUAUACUCACUGGACCCUCGGCGGUCUCUUGGGUUCCUCUUGUGAUCUGCCUUUGUGAAGAGGCAACACAAGUGAUGACCGCAAGGCCCUGCCUGUCUCUGCUGCCUCAUCGCUUGCCCUUCUCGCCAUGGUCUACCACAUUGUGGCUCCCAAGGCCUGCCUGCCUGCCUGUCUUUCCAGUGCUCAUUUGUGUUUGGCAUCAUCUCGGUGUGGAGUUCUGCACCCAGAUCUGUGACUGUCCUCGUAAUUGGGUCCCACCCAGCUCAAAUGCCAACUCCUCAGAAGCAGCUUUCUGUGAUCACCCCAGCUGGUCUCUUUGCCAUAUUUCCUUCAUAUAUUUUAUCACUAUCUGAAAUUAACAUUUGUGUUUCCCUUCACUCUAGAAUGUAAGUUUCAUGAGAACAGGGCUUUGUCAAGUUUCCACUCUGCCCUCAGUGGCAAAUGAGUAGAUUCUCUCACCUCUGAACCUGAUCUGGAAUUCCUAACAGCAUUGACAUCUAACUUAAUGACAGAGAGGAAGGAGAUUCUUAGAGGCAGUAGAAAGUGGUCAAGUGUUCAGAAAAUUGCCUUUCAUUAUACAUCCUUAGUUCUUUCUGGCAGAUUGGGUUAUACUGUCUUAAUCUAUCAGGUUAGGUAAGUAGCCCAGGGUGUCUUCUCCAUUCUUUCUGUAUGCAGUAUCUCAGCGUCGACAUCUGCCUAGGCUUCAGGAUAGAAACUCAGUCAUCUUUGACUUUCCUUCUUUUCUUUAAAGUCAGUAAGUUAUCAAGUCCCGAUUCCGUCUGAGCCAUUUCCUGAAUUCAUCCUCUACUGCUUUAGUCAGGCCCUCACAAUCCUCUGCCUUUAGCCAUCUGUUUGGUUUUUGCUUUGUCUCUUCUCAUCUCCUCACC